AUGGAAAUGAGAAAGCAAAAGCCCAAACCCAUGAUGUUAAUGUAUGUAUAUAUUUUGGUUAACUAUCUCCUUAGACUUUGGCAAUCGAAUUGGAGCGCAAAUAAAGCAACCGCGAAUUUGGAAGACAGCAAAAGAGAUGAUUUCUAUAAAUGGGUUAAGCUUAAGCGUAGUUAAACCCAAAAUCGCAUUCACCAAGAGCCCUUAUCUCGUUCCUCUGUUUUUCCAUAACCCCAAAACCUCUUCUUCAUCGCCUUCGCAAGUCGCUUUAAGACCUGUUUCUUCUUCAAUGUCUUAUGAAAAGGAGCUUGCUGCCGCCAAGAAGGCUGCCUCUCUCUCUGCCCGCCUCUGCCAGAAGGUACAAAAAGUUCUUUUGCAAUCAGAUGUUCAAUCAAAAUCAGAUAGAAGUCCAGUCACAGUGGCUGGUUAUGGCUCACAAGCACUGGUUAGUUUUGUGCUACAGAGGGAGCUUCCUUCUGAACCAUUUUCAUUGGUGGCUGAGGAGGAUUCAGGAGAUCUUCGUAAGGAUGAGGCCCAGGAAACACUAGAGCGCAUUACAAAACUUGUCAAUGAUACUCUGGCUAGCGAUGAAUCGUAUGCCACCUCUACUUUAUCCACAGAAGAUGUGCUCAGGGCCAUUGACUCUGGCAAAUCUGAUGGUGGUUCCCAUGGCAGGCAUUGGGUCCUGGAUCCCAUAGAUGGUACUAAAGGGUUUCUGAGAGGAGAUCAAUAUGCAAUUGCAUUAGCAUUGCUAGAUGAAGGAAAAGUAGUGCUGGGCGCCUUGGCUUGUCCAAAUCUUCCUUUAGCUUCUAUUGGUGGUGAUGAAUCAACAUCCUUCGCAAGGUGAAGUUGGUUGCCUUUUCUUUGCUAAUAUUGGUGCUGGGACUUACAUGCAACUGCUGAAUAGUUCUUCAGCAAUUAAGGUGCAAGUCACUGCAAUUGAAAAUCCUGAAGAAGCAUCAUUCUUUGAAUCAUAUGAAGCAGCACACUCUAUACACGAUUUGUCGAGCUCAAUUACGAAAAAACUUGGUGUCAAAGCACCCCCAGUUAGAAUUGAUAGCCAGGCAAAGUAUGGUGCUCUAUCCAGAGGAGAUGGGGCAAUAUAUCUGCGUUUCCCUCAUAAAGGUUACCGUGAGAAAAUAUGGGAUCAUGCCGCUGGAUGUAUAGUUGUGACAGAGGCUGGGGGAGUGGUCACAGAUGCGGCUGGAAACCCUUUAGAUUUCUCUAAAGGAAGAUAUCUGGAUCUUGACACUGGCAUAAUUGUUACCAAUCAGAAGUUGAUGCCAUCUCUUUUGAAGGCAGUUAGAGAUUCCCUGGAGGAGAAGGCUUCAUCCUUGUAAUUACUUCUGGAUUAAUGAUUUCACCAUUUCUUUUGUCUCAAGCUGUUCUUUAUGUCCUUUCAAUCAUCCACAAUGGUUUGUCAAUUGGUUGUUUUAGGAGCAAAUUUCUUGUAAUAAUUUAAUAAACCAUGGUCUCUUACAGAACACAGGGUUUUAAACAUUUCGGGGCUUAGGUGUUUUUGGUUUAUCAAAUCUGCCAAUCUGGCAAGUGCAAAACUACUGUUUUAUUGCCUUCUCUCUCGGUUGAAUAAUUCUGAUGUUU
RNAcentral lists this unclassified non-coding RNA (1599 nucleotides) under Hevea brasiliensis (rubber tree). Lineage: Eukaryota; Viridiplantae; Streptophyta; Magnoliopsida; Malpighiales; Euphorbiaceae. The record is from RNAcentral.